UUGGGUGCUCACUCGCUUUCUCUUUCUCCACAGGCAGCGGCGUAAGUACAGGUUUCCUCUGUUUCUCCUUGUGUUACUCACUCUCUCUUUCCUUUCCUCUCCACAGGUAUCAACUUGGGCACAAUAGCACAGUUACUCUGCUUUGGAUGGCUUUCACCUCUGGGCUGGACACAGCGUACUGUGCUAUCUCCGGAGAUCUGAAGCACGCUCACAACAUAUACUGUACUGAACUAGGCUAGGACCAGCAGUCUCCUUGUCCUCCCGCGACGAAGUGCGUGAAGGCGGGGAUUUAUCUGACAGGACACACGGCAAUACACAGCAGCCCACAGCAAUAUACAGCACCACG
Cyprinus carpio carpio is the source of this 346-nucleotide long non-coding RNA. The record is from Ensembl. Lineage: Eukaryota; Metazoa; Chordata; Actinopteri; Cypriniformes; Cyprinidae.